UGAGUAAGAGCCCCAGAAAUUGGAGAGAAAACAUCUUCUUCGAAGGAAUUUGAGAUGAUCACUGAAAUCAGCUGCGUUUGAGAACUUCUCAAAUGACUUCGGAACUUCUUCUUACGUCAUUUACCGGCCUUUAGUGUGAUCGUUUCGAAGAAGGAAAAGAAGUCUUAAAAAAAGUGAAAAAUAUGAAGAUUCUCUUUGCUGUUUUAGUGCUUUCUCUUGCAAUUUCCAGUGUGACUUCCUUGACCUGCUACUUCUGCCACGGAACCAAUGGAACUGCUUGUGCUCAUCCCCCAACUACCUCUAUGAUUGCUCAGCAUCCCUGCAACAAUCAACAUUGCUCAACGCUAGUUUAUCAUGCCGGUAAUGGAACCACAGUCUACGUCCGUGGCUGCAAUCCCAGCAAUUUCUGCUCAAACCCGGGAAUUCCAGCGCAUCAGCUCAUUGAUUGCCGCACCUGCAAUAGAGAUCGCUGCAACAGUUCCAGCAUUAUCAAAGGAAGUGCCUUAACGUCAAUUUUCAUCUUAACAAUAGCUUUGGCUUUCUCAAAGACAUUUUUCUCCUAAAUUCUACUUCUUACUGUUUUAAUUAAUUUUUAUUUUAUUAUGUAUUUUUUAUAAUUUUUUUUAAAUUUACCAUUAAAAGUAUAUUUUUGUUGACAAAAAAUUCUGAGUCAGAGUAUUAAUGCUUCGAUGAUUGAUUAGAUUAGUUUUAUCAAAAACAAGAGGGGAAUUUUUGGGGGCGAUGCGAUAUGAAUUUAUGAUUUAUGAAAUUUCAUUUUGUUUGGCAUAAUUUGGAGGGAAAUAAUCUUAACAAUUAUUGAUAGUUAAUUUCUUUUUCAAAUUGAAUUUUCUUGUCCACCAAUCAUAUGGUGGUUUUCACCUCAUUAAAUUGAUUUUAUAAUGAAAAUUAUAAUCAAAAAUAAAUUAAAGAACAUACCAGCAAUAUGUGGAAAGCUGCGCAUGGUAGCGCAUAGAUAUUAAUGUGGUGUAUGUAAUCUCUCAAAAAUCCCACUAAUAUUCGACAAAGGGGACUUUGUGUGAAAAUUUAAUGAUGAUUCCUGUGAAGAUAAUUACGGAGCAUUCAUAUUGUAAGUUUGCCAAAGGAAUUCUCGUGAAUAGUGUUUCAGAUAUAAUUAAUCACAACCACUUAGCCACAUAUGGGGAUGUACAGACACACACACGGAGUACAAGAGGAGCCCCCCGGGCGAGAAAAUGAAAUUGAAAUAAUUAAUGAGUCACGAGGGUGAAGCAAACACUUCAUCAUUUAUGUAUUUAGGCGUAAAAUAUUUCUUUGCAAAAUGCGUAUAUAUGUAUGUUAACAUUUGCACGCGUCGUAAGGCUUUUCUUUUGCCCGAAAAUUUCCCACCAAAAAUAUUUUUAAGGAAAUUUCUUCCAUGGAACAAAAUGAGAGAGUUAUGUGUGGAUGCGGGGGGCUGUAUGGGUUGAGGGAAAUUGCCAUGUAAUUGAUUAAUCGUGGCCUGUGAAAGCCCAAAUGUUAUUCUUUUGCUUUAGCCUAGAGGGGGUAAAUUUGGAGUGUUUAUGCAAAACUCAUUGUUUGACUUUUAAGUGGAAGCUUAAGUAAAUUUAUGGUUCGUUUUGGGGGGUGGUUGGUUGGUUCUAUUUGGCUUCAGGAAAUCCACAUGAAUUUCGCUUUCAUGGCAAUCAAUAAACAAAGUAUCAAAAUGGUUGAAUUCACCAGGGCUAAAUUUUGGACUCAUUUUAUGCUUGUCUGACUACCAAAAUUUAAUUUCUCGGGUCGCAACCACACGCACAGAUAAAUAUUUGCAAGCACCACAAGAAAAGAUCUUAAAGUUUAUUUUCAGUGGGGAAGCGAGGGGACUGUAAGUAGGGAUUUUUGUUAGUAUAUUUUAUUAAAUGGUAGUGCGAGAGUAUUUGUGGGGAUGGGAAUGGGUUUUAUGGGUCACAUUUUGAAUUAAAUAAUUUAUGUGACAUGUUAAAGUUAAUUUCCGAGUUUAUUUCUCAACAUUCUAUUACUUAAAGAUGUCUUAUAUGUAGUAAAAGUAGCUUAAAGUUUUGAUAUAUUUUUUGAAGCACAAUAUUCUCCUUUUCCGUUACAAAAUUAAUUUUCUUUAAACUAAAACUAUUUGCAAAAGCUUUGGAGCUUUUUUUUAAAUUUUAAGAAUUUCGAAUAAUUGAAGAUCUUUAACAAUGCAAAUUCAUAAAUUAAUUUUCGCACAACAUUUUCCUUUCUCUCAACAAGAAAUUAUUAUCUCCGUACAAUAAUUAUAUAGAAGUUCGAGAGCAUUUUUUUAAAGUUAAACUUUCAUGGAAAAAUUGUUUAAAAGUCCUUUUGCAGCCUUAAUUAAUUAGUCUUUAAAAUAAAAGCCCAUAGCACUCGCAGGCACCACAAUUAAUUUAUUAUCACACCACCCCCAACUCUUUUACCUUUUCCUGUACAAAGAAAAACUUUUCCUUUUGUUGAAAGUGAGAAAAAUGAACAAGAGAGAGGGGGAGUUUAACAAGCGGUGUGAUACGCGGUGGGUGGGUUAUCUCUAUUCAGUGAUCCCUGACUCAUUUUGCUCCGCAACACCUCAAUACGGGGCAAUGUUCAUUAAAAUAGCGUGUAUUAGGUGAAAAUUAAAAGCCAGAUGAUAAUGAUGUGAGGCCAGAGUCUAUUAUACAGCACAGUGUGUGAUGUACAGUCAUGCAGCACGUUUUACAAAAGCACGACCCUCAAUGGGAGACGUCCAAUGGGGCAGCUAUAUAAAUUUUACCUCAACUAAAAUCAUAGUCAUUUGAUAAAUUGACUCCGGGGGUUUGUCUCCAUUCUCCGCCCUCUUGCCCUCAGCACUUCAUCCCCUUUGUACCGAGAUAACCCCAUUUUUGGGGGCAAAAAUACAAGGUUAAGCUCCACAUACAUUGUAAAGGAUAUAGGGGGUGGGGGAGCUUUAUUCUGUCGAUGGCCACAAGGAGAUCAAAAGCAGCACCCUGUCGCAUUUUGGGGUACUGGAGAAAAUGGCAUGUUUUGCCCCAAGGCACCAACCCCCCACUCCCUCCACCAUCACCCCUAAGUCCCAUAAGAGGACCAAAAGUCUCGGAGAAAGGAUCCAUUUGGUGGAUAAAUGGCAACAAUAAAGUAUUCAGCAACACAGAAUGCUUCACAAUCAUUUUUCCUUGGCAUGGGGCUCAAUAUAUGAAUGUUUACAUGAUGUGGCCAAUUUAUAUUUCGUCUCGCCUUCACAUGCGAAGAGAAAUUUGCCUCAUUUCGUGCCAUCAAAAGGAUACCCCAAAAGGAGAAAAACACAAGUCGUUUCACCAGCCAGACCCAUAAACGAAAAGGGAAAUAUUCCUUGUACACACACACACUUCAAUGGCUAAAAUGCUUCUUUAUAAAUCACAAUUUAAAUAAUCGCUCAGAGAUUGGGAUCUCUUAUUUAACGAUAAAAAGGAUGAUUCAGAAGAAAUGGUAGAAGGGUGGGUGUUUGUAGGAAUUUGCGGAUGAAUUAGAAUGGAAUUUUCCCCGAAGAAUUUGGGGGAUUUAGUUUGAAAUCUAAAUUCAUGGAAAAUUUAUGCAUUCUUUUGGGGAAAAAAAACGGCUUCUUUUGAGAUAAAGUGUUUUGUUCUUUAAUCCAUCGUGGAAAGGGAAUAAUCAGGUGUUUUAAUACAGGUGAUAAAUUGAAAUCUGAUUAGUUUUAUCCAAAAAUUCACUACAAAAGACCUCAAGCUUUCAUUGAAUUAUUGAAUUAACCCUUAAAAUACAUCUCAUGAUUAAUUUUCCAAGAAAAUCUUAAUGAAUAAUGACGACUUUUUCAUGGUUUACGUGUGUAGUUCACGAGAUAACGAUAAAAAAAAAUUGAGAAAUAACCCCUAACAACGUGUAAAGAGUUUGGUAACAUUAAUUGAUGUCAAAAAAGUGAUAUAAAAUUGGGAAACACCAACCUUAUCGAAAGUAUUUUAUCGGCAAUAUUGUGGUGGGAAUUGGGCUGAUAGUCGCAGAAGUAAAUUUUAAUCUUAUCGCCUAAAAUUUGCGCGCCUUGUACAAUUUCUCCCGAUCUCAGGUGAAGCAUUUCCGUCAGAUCUUUCCCAAGUUAAACAUUAACUUUUUGCAUUUUCUCACAAUUUAAAAAAAAUCUCUAUACAAAAUGUCCAAUAAAAUUGCUAUUUGUGCUUUCGUGUGCCUUUCUCUGGUCAUCUCAAAAGUCUUCUCCCUGAACUGCUACACCUGUUCCACUGUGGGUGUUGUUCCCUGUACAACGGUGAUGCAGUGCGAGGAGUAUUUCCCAGAACUCGGGCCGAAUUAUGUUUGCACAAAAGUGAUCUCGACAUUUGUUCCAGCGGAAGGACCGAAUGUGACAUCAGUGGAACGAGGAUGUGGGCGACCGGAUGCCUGUGAGAAAAUGGAUGAAUACAAUUUGCAAUACGAUGUGUGCGAAAUCUGCACCCAGAAUCGAUGCAACGGCUCAGUGAGUCUGCGAGGGAGUUUCUACGUGAUUUCAGCGAUAGUGCUCAUGUCUGUGAUACUUUCAGCACAAAGUAAAUAGAGUGUUAACCAUGCAGGAGGACAAAUACACGAGAUUUUAUCGAAUUCGCGACACGGAGAGGUGUGCAAAAAAAAAGUCAUUCAAUUGACGAUGUUUAGUAUUCCAUGAUAAGAGCAUGUGCGGGGUUAAUAUUUUAUGAUGUCUGUCGCAAAUCGAAUUUCCGUCUAUCUGCAAAUGAGUUGCAAAUACCAAAUUACUCAUAAAUUGAUUAAAAUUUUGAUUGGCACAAUUUUGGGGAGAUUUUUUCAUGGAAUACCUCAGUGAUUAAUAAAGCUCUAAUUCAAUUAAGCUUCUUAUCCUUUU
Lutzomyia longipalpis is the source of this 4804-nucleotide RNA transcript. RefSeq lists it as uncharacterized. The record is from RefSeq and is a predicted model, not a curated record. The transcript has 6 exons. Lineage: Eukaryota; Metazoa; Arthropoda; Insecta; Diptera; Psychodidae.